Ceratitis capitata (Mediterranean fruit fly) is the source of this 652-nucleotide long non-coding RNA. RefSeq lists it as uncharacterized. The record is from RefSeq and is a predicted model, not a curated record. The transcript has 2 exons. NCBI's taxonomy places the organism in Eukaryota, Metazoa, Arthropoda, Insecta, Diptera, Tephritidae.
UUUUUUUCAGUUUAGGAUUUUUAUGCUUUUUCGUCUUUUACUUCAGUACAAACAUUUUGUUUUUAAUUUAAUUUAUUUGUAAGUGAGCUGCUCAGCUGCCACAGGCGCAUGAAAUGGCCUUUUGGGCUGUAAAUUUUUGUAUGAGCAGCUUAUUAAAUCACGCAAUUUCGGUAUGUGAAAAAUGAAGUAAAUUUGUUGUAGUAAAAUUCAGAAGCAGCUCGUCUGCAACUGUGCUUUUCCGAUUAAGGAGAAUGGAAAAUUAUAGAGUGCAUAUUAACUUCAUGGGGUUUAAAUAAUAAAUAAUGACAAAAGCAUCAAAAAUAUUGGGUAUACAAAUUAAUUCGUUUCUUCGAAAAAGAUUUUUCCACAUUCCAGCCCUGACCGAUCUUGGAAGCGAUUAUCUAAGGAAAGCUUUCGCAUCUGUUUACAGCGGCUGUUUCUGAAUUCCAGCUGAAGCCCAUCGAAUGCUUGUAGAAUCUUGUGUUGAAUCUGGGCCGACCAAUAAGUCUACUCUUGAAAAUUGCUGAUUCUAGCGUCGAAGUUAAAGAGAAUCCUGACCAACCCAAAAAAUUAGAAUAUAAGAAAUUGGAAAUUGAAAUAUUGGUUUAAUCAAAAUAAGAGAAAUAAAGACCAGAGAGCAUAAGUCCCAGGA